UGGUGCCCGCACCUUCUACUGCUUCGUGUGGCCGGCCGGCACACCGGUGCACAUCAAAGUCGGCUUCGCUCAGCAAGGCCUCUUACUCUCCCUUUCUUUACUCCUUUACCGGCCUGCACGUGUGCGUCGCACAGCCGUAGCCAUGGACACGGCACUGCCCAUGCUGCAGGGACCAUCUCCCGCCUCGCCACGAAAAAACAUGUCAGACUCCGCCCCUGGCGCCGCAUCUGCCAGUCCCGCGCCUGCGCAGCGAGUGGCGGGUGGCGGCACACUCCACGAGCGGCUUGUCGCGCGGCACCGUGACGCCAUUGAGGCUUUCCGCGCUAGCGCCCGGUCGUUUAACGGUGACGUCGACGCAGCGCAACAGCAGCGUGUAGUGCUGCUGCACAACGUGUUGGCGGAGAGCCACGCUAGCACUCUGUCGAUGAUAACCCAAGAGCAGCAGCGACUCUCUGAGCAGCAGGCAGAGGCCCAGGUGCACAACGAAGCGCUCCGGGAUGCUGACCCGGAUGCAGUGCUGCCGGUGUGCACCGACAUGUACCACUGCUCCACCGCCGACGAUCAGGGCCGGGCACGGGCCAUGACUCUCAUGAAGCAAGAUCGGCUGCGCCUCGUGCAACUCCUCGUCGAGGUGCGAGAUCAUUACCGCAGCCGCGUGGCAGCGAUCGACACGUGCUUCGCGGACAUCGCCAGUGCGGAGGAGGCACGCUGCAAACAAAUCCAGGCGGCGGUGCAAGAGCUGAUGGCCAGGCUUACCCGCAUCGCCGUCACCAGCACAACCGAGUCACAGGUACUUGCGCAGCGCAUCCUCCACCACACCAAUGAGCAGCUCGGCGGGAACUACUUGGGCAUGCAGACGAUGGCGACACAGCUUCGGCAGCGGGAACUGUACAAGCACCAGCAAUACCAGCGCACGCUCAUCGCGGUCUACCGGGACACGCAAGUGCACAUGGCUCAGCAGCACGUGACGUGGUGCAUCACAGUGCUGCGCUCGGCGCUGUUCCACCGCCCGGAGGGGCGGCUGCAGUCUGUGAAGGCAGCAGAGCAGCUGAUCGGAGCUAUCCGCAGCGAGGCUGUGGGGCUCGCUCGCGGGCUGACGGAGGUGGUGGACUCCCUCGAGGUUGCGCAACCGUCUGCGAGCACCGCGGAGCUUCAGGUUUGCGGCGGCAGUGGCGCCAACGGCUGGCUGCGCUCCUUCGAACCGAAUGUGCAUCUGCCCGUCUUCGUCGACGAGGACCCGCAUGCGGUGCUGGAAGAGUGGCAUAUGCGCGUCAGCAUUCUCCUGCGGCACUGCGGCGCACGGUGUAACGAGCUGAUGGCCCGCGUGAGAGCCGACGAAGCUGCGCGCACAAGCGUGGCGGCCGCCCUUGCAGAGCAGACCCUCAGCGAUCUCGAAGCGAUUGCGCAUCCGCUCAGCGAAGAGUCGUCGCUGCUGCAGCGUGCGUCUCUCGCGCACAGCGGCACUGACAAGGAUGGGCAGGAUGUGUCACCCGAAGAGGCUGCUGACUUGCUCGAUGACGCACUCCACUCCCUCACCGAUGCCCAUUCCGGGGUUCUCGCCAUAAAACAGUCCAUAGUGCGGUCCGCCGCGUGGGCGUUCUGCGUGCCCACCAUCGAGAAGGAAGGGCAGUGGUUUGUGCACCUUGUGUCGCACGGCUUUCGGCGCGGCUACGCCCAGUUCUGUGCUGAUGCUGUCAAAUCCACUGGUAGCAUGCUAGUGAGCCUUGAAGGGGCCACCGACAUCCUCGUCACCUCUACCCGUGGCCUCCUCGGCUUCCUGCGCGGGCUCUACGCGCAGUGGCAAGAAAAGGAGAUGGACUACCGCGACGAGGUGGCCCGGCUGGAGCUGCAGCUGCGUGUGUUGGAGGAGGCGCUGCGGCAACAGGAGACGCCAGCGGCCGCGGAGGCGCGGUACACAGCGGGGCUCACGUGCCUGCAGUCGAUCGCCGACGCCCACACUCGCUACUACGAAGCCGUUCGCAGCCGUGUUGCAAACGCGACCGCAGACGUGCUGCAAGUCAGUCAGGCGUGCGUCGGGGAGCUGAGCAGGCAGGCGGGGCUGUCGUGGGCUCGGCUAAGCUCCUCUGACGAGUGUGAGAUACCGGACACUCCACAACAGCAGCUCCAGUGCAAGAACUCUGCCGGUGCCGUACCUGCAAGCACGCACGAGAGCGUGCCCGCCGCCGCCGCUGCACCGCGCUGGUCCACCUCACACGGGGAGGAGUUCACCAUCGACUCGGUCGCCUUCCGCUUCGCUUGCGUAGCAGCACGUAGUGGCGGCGGCGAUGUAACUGCAAAUGCUGGUGCGAGCCUGGAGGACUUCGAUGACGACAAGACGGCGGCCACUGGGGCGGCCCCUGGAGCGGACUUCCAGCAGUUUUACCUGAACCUGCUACCCGAGCUGCAGCCAGCGCAGCAACAUGUGUCGUUAUUCCUUCCCCAGUCGCAAGUGUCAGAGUGGAAGGAGUAUCUGCGAUGUGCGCUCAUGGAGUGGGGCCUUAGCUUGCAGCGGCAUGCUUGGGAGAGCUGGCGGCUGUACACGGCAGCUUUUCAGGACGAUGUACAGCACCGCGUGGCAGAGGUGCUGCGAUACCAUCACCGGCGUCCCGCGACGUUGCAGGCGACCGUCUACGAAGCCCGCGUGCGCGAGUUGACAGAUGCAAAGAACAGGGGGGACAAGAUGCUCUCGCGGAUAGCGGAACGCGUGUCGCGGGUGCAGACGCUCAAGCACACAUUUCUCACCCAGACAUCACACAACGACUCGGACCAGGCGCUCAUUCGCGAGCGCGCCGCCCUGCUCGUGAAAGUGCGUGACGCUAUGUCGACAAACGCCGUAAGAGCGCUGGUGAGCCGGCACGACGCCCUCUGCGCCGAGUACUGCACAGCGCUGGCAGACCGCUGCGCUGAGGCGGUGCACAAUCUCAAAAGGGCCCGGGGAGUCAUCGAGGAUGACUGCGCGCAGCUGCUGCACGAUCGAGCAGUGGAGCUGCGCGGCGGCGACACAGCGGCUCAGCUGCCGGUGGACGACCCGGUCCAAAUGCGCGUCGACCACCUGCGCUCAGAGGUGCAGGAAACACUCACGCAGUCGCUCAAAGCCGUUGAGGAUCAGCAACAGACACGCGCUGCUGAGGUCGAUAACUGGAAGGCAGCAUGGGCUAGCACGGUGGAGCACAGCAGUGCGGAGCUGAGCGUGUUCCAGACCGUGCAGGAGGGGUUGGCUCGACUGAAGGCACAGGUGCAGACGUUGCUCACGACAGCGGCGGCCGAAGAGGCAGAGCUUGCGGCAGGGGUAGCGAUGGUGGUGAGGGAGGUGGACGAGGCCUCCGCCGCACCAGUGAUGGACUUGGCGGCCGCUAUACAUGCACUGUUCAAAGAGAGCCCCCCAGCAACCUCACCGGCGGGUGAUGGUGGUGGCGACACACCGCUGACAACAGAGGAUCUGAAAAACAUGGUGGAGUACAACCUCAAGGUGACGAAGGCGAUGCAGCAGGACCGCAUCCGGGCGGCGUCUGCAUGCACCGUGCUCGCCUCUCUGGACAAGCUCCGUGGGCUCUUGUACGCGCGUGGGUGCCGCUUGGGGCUGCUGGCGCACACAGUUGAGAUGUUGCGGGUGUCGCCGCUGCACUACGUGCUGCCCAUGGAGCUUGGGGAGGAGGAGCCCGAGGCGGUGCGCGGCCGCGCCGGCAGUCGCAGCGUCUCUUCGAAGGCGGGGCGUCGCGCCAAAGACGUCCAGGGCGCUCCCACCGCUGGGCACACCGCCAUGCCCCUCUCCACGCCUGCGACGUACGCUGAGCAGGUGGCGCAGUGGACGGCGCAAGUGCUGAGGGACGCAGAGGCUGCGGCACAGCGCCAUGUCAAAGCCUUUCCGGGCAACAUGUACCGCCGACUGCCUGGAAUGACCGGCGGCACGGUGGAGCAGCUCAACGCCGCCGUCGCGGCACUGUGCGUUGCACAGGAGGAGCGGGUCAAGUCGUACACGGCCAAGGCAGGCCAACCCUUUCGACAGCGUGUGCAGGAGCUGUGGAACACGCUGCAGAGCACGCCAUCUCUCCUUGUGGGCACCUUGAGCGCAGGGGCGACGACCGCUAUCCUUGAGCGUGUCGAGGCUGUGCUGCGGCCGUGGUGGCGUUUUCAGGCGCAGAGUAGCGAGCAGUGGCGUGCGCACCGACGGGCAGUCAAGCUCUCCUUAGCCCGUCAGCCCAACGCCACGGCCCUCACGUCGCUGACAGAAGCAGAGGCAGCUCGCAGCGACACGACGGAGUUGGCCCUGCAGCAAGCGUGGGCCUGGAGCCUGCGAGAGGUGGAAGAUGAAGUCGGGCUGCAUGUGGCGCGCUGCUGGACAGCUCUGCACUCCUACUCGCACCUUCUCAAGGGAUUGGUCACCCCGCAGCACCUCGUCCCCACGACGGAGGCGCUGGAAGGCGGCCACCAUCGAGGACUACGGCACCUCCUGGAGCUGCGCGCGCAACACGAGCGAGCGGCCGCAGAGUUGGAGGGGACAGCCGGCGCGAAGAAGGACCCACGGCUACAGGAGGUGAUUCCGCUGCACCGCGCCGACACCCCUGGUAACAACCCAUCUGCGGCCAGUAAGCGGCACGCCAACGCAUCUGUGGCAGCAGCAGCGGCGGCGGCGACGAUGGAGAGUGCGCCGCUUGCGCAGCUUUCGCAGUGGAGCGAUGUGGAGCUACCCGGACUGCCGCUGAACACGUGUGUCCCCCUCUCGCAAUACAACGCGCAGCACCCCCAAACUGCCGUACCCCCACCUCUGGCGGCAGCGGCGUAUGUACCAGCUGCUGUCCGCCUCACCACCGACGGCAAGGGGCCUCAAGGCCACGGCAACCGGCGCAUCUCUGCAGCGACGUCUUCCGCAUCUUCAAACACGAGUGGCCGCAAAGGGCAUGCAUCGAUAGCGAUGGACGCAAAGGCCACCGCCGAGGUCUCUGUUCCGCUUCUCGUACCGCGGGCUCCACUCGUGCUGGAGUGCGCGCAGCUGCUCCGCGCCGCGGUGCAGUCGGUGAGUUCGCAGGGCAACGAAGCCGCUGGUGUCCUCAGCAACGCAUUCGGCUUCUACGAGCGGCAGGAAGCACAGUGGCGGCAGACAUGGGUGCUGACCCUGAAGGACAUGACAACGAUGUAGGAGGCAAGCACAGCGAGAAAGCACGGAUGUGGUCGCCGGCGUGCACCGCCUUGCUCUGCUCAUCUCUACUCGGUCCGACCCUUCCGAUUUUACGAAGGCCCUCCUCAAGGUUGUCGCCUCACAUGUGCUGGAUGUACAGAUACCACGGCGAAUCGCUACUACUAGCAUGUGCUAGCAGAGAGACGCACACAAGCGCGCACGCAUCUGUGAUGUCUCACGCGCGUGUGCGUGUGUGGUGCAUCCGAAUCUCCUUCCUUUGCCCAUUUCGCUUUACCGAUGCGUGCACAUGUUUUCGAUGUAAAGUACCACGUGUGUAAGCGAGAGAAGGGCAGCAACGAUACUGCUUCGUCUUCCAGAUCUAUCCUAUCCAUGG
RNAcentral lists this unclassified non-coding RNA (5510 nucleotides) under Leishmania donovani. RNAcentral's name for it is "gene:LdHU3.20.1950(CDS-product:Domain_of_unknown_ function_(DUF4455)/Domain_of_unknown_function_(DUF4456)_put ative)". The record is from RNAcentral. Lineage: Eukaryota; Euglenozoa; Kinetoplastea; Trypanosomatida; Trypanosomatidae.